AUUGAACGCUAGCGGGAUGCCUUACACAUGCAAGUCGAACGGAGUGGCGAACGGGUGAGUAAUGUAUCGGAACGUGCCCAGUAGCGGGGGAUAACUACGCGAAAGCGUAGCUAAUACCGCAUACUAUUGGAGCGGCCGAUAUCGGAUUAGCUAGUUGGUGGGGUAACGGCUCACCAAGGCGACGAUCCGUAGCCGGUUUGAUAGGACGACCAGCCACACUGGGACGGAUACAGUGCCCAGAAUCCUACGGAAGGCAAACGUGGGGAAUUUUGGACAGUGGGGGAAGCCCUGAUCCAGCCAGCCCGCGUGUGAGAUGAAGGCCUUCAGGUUGUAAAGCACUUUUGGCAGGAAAGCGGUACCUGCAGAAUAAGCACCGGCUAACUACGUGCCAGCAGCCGCGGUAAUUC
RNAcentral lists this ribosomal RNA (407 nucleotides) under uncultured bacterium. RNAcentral's name for it is "partial 16S ribosomal RNA". It matches the Rfam family "Bacterial small subunit ribosomal RNA", at positions 30 to 526 of the family's 1533-position model. The record is from RNAcentral.